Molecule: ribosomal RNA, 403 nt
Filed under: uncultured bacterium
Lineage: Bacteria
Description: bacterial SSU rRNA
Rfam family: Bacterial small subunit ribosomal RNA
Source: RNAcentral
AGGUCUUGACAUCCAGGUAAACUUGCAGAGAUGCAUCGUGCCUUCGGGCAAUCUGAGACAGGUGGUGCAUGGUUGUCGUCAGCUCGUGUCGUGAGAUGUUGGGUUAAGUCCCGCAACGAGCGCAACCCUUAUUUCCAGUUGCUAACGCUUCGGGCGAGAACUCUGGAGAGACUGCCGGGGACAACUCGGAGGAAGGUGGGGACGACGUCAAAUCAUCAUGCCCCUUAUGACCUGGGCUACACACGUGCUACAAUGGCUAUCACAAAGAGAAGCGAGCCUGCAAGGGUAAGCGGAUCUCAAAAAAAUAGUCCCAGUUCGGAUUGUGGGCUGCAACUCGCCCACAUGAAGUCGGAGUUGCUAGUAAUCGCGGAUCAGCAUGCCGCGGUGAAUACGUUCCCGGGCC